This 442-nucleotide ribosomal RNA is filed under the name uncultured bacterium. RNAcentral's name for it is "partial 16S ribosomal RNA". It matches the Rfam family "Bacterial small subunit ribosomal RNA", at positions 338 to 795 of the family's 1533-position model. The record is from RNAcentral.
CCUACAGGAGGCAGCAGUAGGGAAUCUUUCACAAUGGGCGAAAGCCUGAUGGAGCAACGCCGCGUGCAGGAUGAAGGCCUUCGGGUUGUAAACUGCUUUUAUAAGCGAGAAAUAUGAUGGUAACUUAUGAAUAAGGAUCAGCUAACGACGUGCCAGCAGCCGCGGUCAUACUUAGGAUCCGAGCAGUAUCAGGAGUGAUUGGGUGUAAAGAGUUGCGUAGGUGGCAUAAUAAGUAGCUAGUGAAAUCUGGUGGCUCAACCAUUCAGACUAUUAGCGAAACUGUUAAGCUCGAGACCGUUAGGGGUAACUGGAAUUUCUAGUGUAGGAGUGAAAUCCGUAGAUAUUAGAAGGAACACCAAUAGCGUAGGCAGGUUGCUGGGACGGUUCUGACACUAAGGCACGAAAGCGUAGGGAGCAAACGGGAUUAGAUACCCCGGUAGUG